Trichomycterus rosablanca is the source of this 401-nucleotide long non-coding RNA. RefSeq lists it as uncharacterized. NCBI's taxonomy places the organism in Eukaryota, Metazoa, Chordata, Actinopteri, Siluriformes, Trichomycteridae. The transcript is spliced from 2 exons. The record is from RefSeq and is a predicted model, not a curated record.
GUGUGUCGCCACUCUGUUCUCUCUACCGCUCUGGGCAUGGCUCUCUUUUACACUUGUUGUCUUCAAGAUUAACCUCGUCUGACAGUGAACGAUUUUAAAUGUACAACUCCAGCUACAUUGACAAAUACGAAGGUGGAGCGGUCUGGGUUCUUUCUGUGUGGAGUUUUCAUGUUCUCCCUGUAUCCAUGUGGGUUUCCUCCGGGUGCUCCUGUUUCCUCCCACAGUCCAGAAGUGUGUAAGUGAGGUGAAUUGGAGACACUAAAUUGUCCAUGACUGUGUUUGAUAUUAAAACUGAUGAAUUGAACUGAUGAAUCUUGUGUAAUGAGUAACUACCGUUUCUGUCAUGAAUGUAACCAAAGUGUAAAACAUGACUUUAAAUUCCUAAUAAAACAUAAAACAAA